Zea mays is the source of this 655-nucleotide long non-coding RNA. RefSeq lists it as uncharacterized. The record is from RefSeq and is a predicted model, not a curated record. The transcript has 2 exons. Lineage: Eukaryota; Viridiplantae; Streptophyta; Magnoliopsida; Poales; Poaceae.
UUUAAAAAUAAAAUUUAGGUUCCAUUUGCCAUAGUGGAUAUGUUUUCACUCUUUGUUGAAUGCUAUUGGAAUAUUGUUUUUUCUUUUGUCAAACUCCAGUUAAUAUAUUUCCCUUGUAUUGUAUUUUAGGUUGUUCAGAAGCACGAAGAGAUCAGUAAAGUCGAGAAGGACAGUGUUCUCAGGCAUACUGAAUAUGGCAGGGUGAAUACUGGCAGACGUCAAGUUCCUGGACCAUUCCAGGUAUCUAAACCCGAGGUUCACGGACGAAGCGUUGGAGCGCGACCUUGAGCUCCACGCCUCUUGCAGCUACCUUCAGCGGUAGGAGUGGAACGACCGGAGAAGCAGAACCGCAAAAAAGAUGGCUCAAAUCAUGGACCAGUAGAUGGCAAGGGCGACACGGACAUCGUGAAGAGGUGGUGUGUUUGGAGGGACACUCGGUGGAUGUGGUCAUGAAAAAAUAACCUCUAAUACGUCGUUUUGUGUUCGUUCAGAUAUCAGUGCUCCCCUGUGCGACCAAAUAUCGUUGACAGUGUGGAUAAUUGUAAGCAUCGUUCGCUGUUAAAGAAGAGGUUACUUGGGACAUUUUUUACUCAAAAGAUAAAUUUUCUUCAGUAUGCGUUGUAUUCCAGUUUUUGGCCAAUUAUUCAGCUUCAAU